GGGAUGCGGCGGGUGGUGGGGUGGCGGCCGGUGAGAGUGGUGAGAGAGCCGCGCGUCUUUCGGUUCGAGAGAGUGGUGGGAGUAUGGCCGCUUUUUGAGGACACAUUUAGUUUCUAGCGUAACCACUACUCGUCGCUGUCAUCGAUGUCCGCAGAUAAAUAUAACCUGAAAAACCGGAGAUAAGAACCCACGUGUGUUCAUCAUACAGGUCUGGAAACUACUCUAAUUUCAGUGGUGGGAGUAUGGCCGCUUUUUAAAGACAUAUUUAGUUUCUAGCGUAACCACUACUCGUCGCUGUCAUCGAUGUCCGCAGAUAAAUAUAACCUGAAAAACCGGAGAUAAGAACCCACGUGUGUUCAUCAUACAGGUCUGGAAACUACCUCUAAUUUCAGUGGUGGGAGUAUGGCCGCUUUUUGAGGACACAUUUAGUUUCUAGCGUAACCACUACUCGUCGCUGUCAUCGAUGUCCGCAGAUAAAUAUAACCUGAAAAACCGGAGAUAAGAACCCACGUGUGUUCAUCAUACAGGUCUGGAAACUACUCUAAUUUCAGUGGUGGGAGUAUGGCCGCUUUUUGAGGACACAUUUAGUUUCUAGCGUAACCACUACUCGUCGCUGUCAUCGAUGUCCGCAGAUAAAUAUAACCUGAAAAACCGGAGAUAAGAACCCACGUGUGUUCAUCAUACAGGUCUGGAAACUACUCUAAUUUCAGUGGUGGGAGUAUGGCCGCUUUUUAAAGACAUAUUUAGUUUCUAGCGUAACCACUACUCGUCGCUGUCAUCGAUGUCCGCAGAUAAAUAUAACCUAAAAAACCGGAGAUAAGAACCCACGUGUGUUCAUCAUACAGGUCUGGAAACUACUCUAAUUUCAGUGGUGGGAGUAUGGCCGCUUUUUAAGACAUAUUUAGUUUCUAGCGUAACCACUACUCGUCGCUGUCAUCGAUGUCCGCAGAUAAAUAUAACCUGAAAAACCGGAGAUAAGAACCCACGUGUGUUCAUCAUACAGGUCUGGAAACUACCUCUAAUUUCAGUGGUGGGAGUAUGGCCGCUUUUGAGGACACAUUUAGUUUCUAGCGUAACCACUACUCGUCGCUGUCAUCGAUGUCCGCAGAUAAAUAUAACCUGAAAAACCGGAGAUAAGAACCCACGUGUGUUCAUCAUACAGGUCUGGAAACUACUCUAAUUUCAGUGGUGGGAGUAUGGCCGCUUUUUGAG
This is a long non-coding RNA of Ooceraea biroi (clonal raider ant), 1212 nucleotides long. RefSeq lists it as uncharacterized. NCBI's taxonomy places the organism in Eukaryota, Metazoa, Arthropoda, Insecta, Hymenoptera, Formicidae. The record is from RefSeq and is a predicted model, not a curated record.